CUCAUGCUGCGGCUAGACGUCAUUGAGGAGUCUUAAUCCAUCAUGAGAGGAGCUUCUUCAUCAUGAACCUCUAUCUACUAUAUGAUUCUAGUGUCCUCUUAUGUGACUGGGAUGGACUGCACGUUCUGCACCCUCCACCCUUUCUCCAGCUGACUGGCCCCUUGACACUCAUCCUUUUCGUAGGCGCGCUGUAUGCUAAUUAAUAGCAUUGGAACACCGGGGAGGAGACAUCUUCCUACGCGCAAUCUCCGAUCCUCACAAGACCUCCUUCUCUACUUUCCUCUUAUCUCCUCUUUCCACAAUCACCUCCAAGAUUUGUCCUGUGCAGCCGCUGUACUCUGGAACUCUCUAUCGCAACAUAUCAGACUCUCACCUACAGUGGAAACCUUCAAAAGAAACCUGAAAACCCACCUAUUCAGACAAGCCUACAACCAGUGACCCUGCUGCCUCCAUACCGC
Long non-coding RNA from Bufo bufo (common toad), 458 nucleotides. RefSeq lists it as uncharacterized. Lineage: Eukaryota; Metazoa; Chordata; Amphibia; Anura; Bufonidae. The record is from RefSeq and is a predicted model, not a curated record. The transcript has 3 exons.